This is a long non-coding RNA of Cyprinodon variegatus (sheepshead minnow), 186 nucleotides long. RefSeq lists it as uncharacterized. The record is from RefSeq and is a predicted model, not a curated record. The transcript has 3 exons. Lineage: Eukaryota; Metazoa; Chordata; Actinopteri; Cyprinodontiformes; Cyprinodontidae.
UCAUGAGGGAAUUCCAUACAACAAUAUCAUGUCUGUAGUGCUGUUUUGCUCUGGGCUUAUUGUUGGAGGGAUACUUGCUCUGCUGCCUGUGUUUGGCUUAAGAAAGAAAACAGCACAGAGGUCUGACAGCUUCACUCAGUCAGAAAACAUCAACGAAGCCACACGAACAAUUAAUGAAAAUGAGAC